RNAcentral lists this long non-coding RNA (5265 nucleotides) under Sus scrofa (pig). Its description in RNAcentral is "lncRNA (ENSSSCG00050070463.1)". Lineage: Eukaryota; Metazoa; Chordata; Mammalia; Artiodactyla; Suidae. The record is from RNAcentral.
UACUCUGUGCAUAUUUUUGCCUUUAACUAAAAUCAAGUCUUCUUUGGUUUGGGAGUACUCUUCUGGAUUAAAAGGGUUUUGAAAUCACUUUUUAUCUAUGUUCUUAGAAAUCUGGUAAAAAGAUAUCUGAGCCUUAGUCAAAGCAUGUAUAAUGUAAGAAUUUCAGUUACACUUGAAAGAAAAACUCAACCUGAGACUGACCACAGUAUUGGAGGGUCUUAGGUGUUUUCAAAUAAAUGUCUUAGUUUUGGCCUAUUUGUCUAAACACCACAAGGGAGAGUGCUUUUCCCAUCAAUGUUAGGGCCAAUCUAUACAAUUCUGGUUAGCUUUUGUCUACCUCUCUCAUCCAUUAUAUAUUCCUCCAGGGAAUUUCCUGAUUGGUAAUGGUACAACAAAUUUACUCUUACUCCUGGAAUUGUUCAGCAUUAGAGUUGAAAUGUCCUGAGGAAUUAUUGUUCACCUCCCUUUUGCAAUGAGGAUUCUGAGGUCCAGAGACAUGGAACAAAUUGCCCAAUACCAUGCCGUGAAUUCUUUGUCACACUGGACUUAAGAUUCACUGCCCAUGAGAUUCCACAGGCUAUGGAAUCAUCAUUCCACACAGAAUGGUGGAUUUUUGAAAGACAGGAAUCAACCUUUCCAUGUGGUGGUGGCAUGAAAGACAAAUCUGAUUCUAAGCUGACACACUAUUGAAAUGUAACAAAUCUUUAGUACAUCAGUGUUACAUCUUGGCAAUUACCACACUUUCUGGAAACAAUUGCUGCAAUCCUCCAGUAGGAUGAAUUCAGUUCUUUUACUUGCAAGGCAGGAAAUAAGAAUUUCUAUACCAUUAGUGCCCCUUUGUCUGUACAAGGGCUAGCUUAAAUCAAUGAUCAUUCUAUGUUGUUAACAGUUGAAUCAGAUCUUUUUGCCUGUGAAGUCUUUAGAUACAGUGUUUUAUACAGUCUGUAAAAGCAUAUCUAUCAGUGUGUUGAUGUUUCUAGACUAAUACACAAGAGGGAAGCUAGAACCACAUGGAACAUAGUAGAGAAAAUUCUCAGGAAUUAUCCUCUUCCUUUGUCUUGGUGUCAGGAGUGUGGAAUGUGUUGAAGGACUGAUUUUUUUCAUGGUUUGAAAUAGUUUUUUCACAGGACAGGGCGCAAGAUUUUCUUUAAAAGUAUAAAAAGGGAGUUUUAUAAUAAGAAAAACAAAGAUCUUUUUCUCCCUGGAUACGCAGCAUGCUGAAAUUUUUAAAUAAAAAGUUGUUCAAGUUUUAACUUUGUAAUAAAACUCUCUAAAAAUUAUGUUUGUGUGCACACUAAACGCUCAGGGCUGGUAGCCGAGUAGGGAGGAAAAGCAUGUUUGGCAUAGAAAAUUCAUUGAAGGGCUAAUAGAACAGGCAGAGCCAUCCUUACUCCUUUGAUUUCAUAGCCACUGCCAUCUUGCUGAAUCCCCACUACUCAGCAGUUGUUAGGGAUGAACCGCUUGUGAAUUGGGCAGGCUAGCUAGAAAAGUGAAAAAUGCGGUCCAGACAGAUGUGUAUCUUGCUUCAGGUCUUUUUAUUAUUUCUCCAGCUUGCAGUUUUACCUCGGGCUUUCAUUGAGUAUUUAACUCCAGCAGAUGAACCAUAUUUUGGCAGUGCUGCAUAUUGAAUGAAAGGAGAGUAAGGAUUAAUUUUGGAGGUGCUUCCAAACCUUAGAAUUGGUGGCAGAAUGCCAGCCCUUCAGAAUGUCUUUCCCAAUGGCUCACAUCAACAAACUCUUGGCUGUUACAGCCAAAUGAAUGUUGCAGUUUUCAGUGGUACCUGUUACAUUAAAUCACAUAUUGAUGGGGAAAGAAAGCAGAAACAUCACGCCAUUGCACAGGGGAAAAAAACUGAGAUCCAGAAGCUUUUCUGCCAAUAGUAGGCUUUUUAAGUAAGUGAGAAACAGUCUUGGGGUUUUAUGGUCUCCUAUUUAUUUGGAUGGAAACCAACAGGAUUUUUCAUGUGUUAAUGUGAGUUUCUAUGUUAGCUUGUAUGUCGUUUCUUCUCUGGCACGAAACAACCCUUGAGAUUGUGCUUUCUAUACUCUCUAGGUGUAGAAAGCAAAUAGAUGUGUUCAGCAAAGCCCAGAACCCUAGUUUAUAAUUCAUUGAGCUGGCAGACAGAUUAUUAACAAUAGUGUUACCUUCAAAUAAAUAGGUAAACUAUAAGCACACUUCUAGUUGUGUGAAGCAUGACACAGACCAGACGUAACUUAUGCUGGUCACUGUGGAUUGGAUUUGUGGUAUUUAGAGACAGUCACAUGCCAUUCUUUCAACCCAUCUCCUAAGUAGUCAGUGUUCUAGCCUGGCCCCUUUUUCAUGGCGCCACUCACAUAUUGUUCUUACUGUUUAUUCCGAAGCAUGGCUAGUGCUAUUCCUAUGACUUGGAAAAUAGUAGUCCUUCUUUUCACUUCUCUUCAAUCUUCUUGGAACAAUUGUCUUUACCUUGCCAUUUCCUCACCUCCCAUUCCUUCCCCAGUCAACUUUGAUAGAGCUUCUAUUCCCAUCACUUAAUCACAACUGCUCCCAGCCCAGGACCACUCCAAAGCCUGAGUGGUACUUUCUAAAGAACAAUGUUCUCCUCCCAGGCUGCUGUUGGUCUUUUUCCUCUGUAUCACUUUCUUUACUUGGACCAUAAGUGUUUCACUUCCUCAGGACUCCUCAUGGACCCCCCUCCCUUUUUUUUUUUUUCAUUUUACCCACAAGCAGUCAUGCCCCAUUUUCUCAUCCCCCUAGUCCCUGGCAACCAUUAAUAUGCUUUCUGUCUCUACACAUUUGCUUUUUCUGAAUGUCUCAUAGAAAUAGAAUCGUAUAAUACUAGUCUUUUGUAUUGGCUUCUUUCAUUUAGCAUGUGUUUUCAAAGCUUAUCCUUGUGGUAGCAGGUAACAGUGCUUCACUCCAUUUUAUGACUGAAUAAUAUUCUGUUAAACGGCUAGUCACAUUUGUUUAUCCAUUUAUCAGUGGAUGAUCACUUGACUUGUAUCUAGCUUUUGCCUGUCAUUACUGGUUCUCCUAGGAAUUACCAACCACAUCCUAUAUUCUUCUCUCCCAUGCUCCCCACAUCUAUCAUACUGAACUGUAUUCAGUUUCUCCAUGUUGCUUUUCCUCUUGCCUAAAGCACUGCUCCUUUCUUUUCUCUUUACCUAGUGGAUACCUAAAUAACUCUAGAUCUCAGUUCAGAAAUCACUUCUCCACUGCAGUCUUCCCUGACCUCUAGCAGGGGCAUAUCCAGGUGUAUGGAGCUGGAGUUUUUAUUUUGAAAGGAUCUUUUUCAGAAAAAGAAUACAAAUUUUAAUAUACAGUAGAAAAUAUGUUUUUAUUUUAUUUUAUUUUUUAGGGCUGCACCCAUGGCAUAUAGAAAUUUCUAGGCUAGGGGUCAAAUGGGAGCCAUAGCCUCUGGCCUAUACCAUAGCCGCAGCAAUGCCAGAUCUGAGAUGUGUCUGGGACCUACAUCAGAGCUCACAGCAACAUAGUAUUCUUAACUCACUGAGUGAGGCCAGGGAUUGAACCUGUGUUGGGUUUGUGACUACUGAGCCACAAUGAAAACUCCCAAAAUAUGUUUUUAGAAUUAGAAUGUAAAUCAAAACAAAUGAUUUAUAUAAAAAGAUGAUACACUUAAUAAGCAUUAUAUAAUUCAGAAAAAUAAUAUGUUUAUAUUAAUUUACUGCCUGACGCACUUAAUUUUCCCAAACAUUUUUUUGGCUCAAUAGUUUUUAGUCAUUCUUUGGUCAUGUUAAAUAUUUGUAAUAUCAUUGACUAUAAAGAGAAUAGAAAUAGAAUUUAACCUUUCUGCUAAUCAUUGACUAUAGGGAGAAUAGAAAUAGAGAAUAGAAUAGCCUCUCCUCUAGUAUAUUUGAUUGAGAAAUUUUGCUUCAUAAUUUGCUCAUAAUGUCAUGUAAAUUUUUAAGAGUGUCGUCAAAUUUGGGAAAAGCUCUGCUAAGUUUCUUUCAUAAGCUCUAAGACUUCUUGUGCAAUGACUAAUUUUACAUUUUUCAAAUUGAUAAUACACACUUCUAUAUUGUCCUUAUUUUGGUAGCAUGUUAGUUUUAUAUUAAAUACCUUUAGGUCUGAAUUUUAGGUCAAGUCACACAAACUUUAAAUAUUUUUCCAAUGUGUUUAUAUGAGUCCCUUGUCUUCUCUAAUUAUAUUAUUGAACAAUCUAAGAAACUACUUAUUUAUUUGGAAUUUUUCUCUUCAUCUUAAUGAAUUGUUUUUGGUAUGACUUUAGCAUUCUUUUUUGCUAUCUGCUUCUUGAUGUCAGAAUGAUUUAUAUCAACUUUUAUUGCUCAUCUCUGUCAUUUAAGUAUCAUAUCCCAUUAUUUUUUUGUUUCCAUACUCUUUCAGCUCUUUAAUAAAUAAAAUUAAAGAUGAAAAAUAGGAGUUUUUCCCCCACAAAUGUCCCAAUCAGAAGUCUGUGAUACAUGGAUUCCUUUCCAAUGCGUUUUUGAUUCUGUUAUCCUAUGACACUCUGGUGUAGCACUUAGGUGCAGAGUUCACAGAUGGGAAAUUGAGUCUCAGGAACAUUUCAGAUCACAUAUAUUGUCAGUGGUGUCACUGAGAACAGAGGUUACAUUACUCAGUUUAUUCUCUAUUUUCAUCUUUCUAAGAAUAGACUGUGCAUUAAGCAUUGUCAUUAUGUAGAAAUUUUUAAAUUGCUGUGCCUAUUUUUCAUUCUUUGGGGCUUAUCUAAGAUCUGAUAUGUUAAUCAAAAAGUACAAGCUCUCAGAGGUCUCACAAGUCAUGAUCCAAGAUGAUAAAUGGGUCUAGAACAAGUUCUAGUUUUGUGGUCUUCUUGUUUCAUAAAACUAUAGAAUAGGAGGACAUUGAUGGAAAGGUUUUCUGCAAUAAAAACUUCAAUAUAUUACCCACGACUAGGAACAACUUUUAAAGAUGAAAAUAGACUUUUGAAUAUGAGUUAAGUUUCAAAUAAAAAAAUAAAAAUGGAAAGCUGGAAUAUAUUUCUUAUGGUUUUAGUUUUUAAUCUGCUUUUAAAAAUUAUCUUUGGAGUUCCCGUCAUGGCUCAGUGGUUAACAAAUCCAACUAGGAACCAUGAGGUUGCGGGUUCGACCCCUGGCCUCACUCAGUGGGUUAAGGAUCCAGCAUUGCCGUGACCUGUGGUGUAGGUCACAGACACAGCUCAGAUCUGGCUUUGCUGUGGCCCUUGCAUAGACUGGCGGCUACAGCUCCGAUUAGACCCGAGUCUGGGAACCUCCAUAUGCCAUGGGUAUGGCUCUAGAAAAAGGCAAAAAGACAAAAAAAUAAAAA